RNAcentral lists this transfer RNA (73 nucleotides) under Ovis aries (sheep). It matches the Rfam family "tRNA". Rfam says of the family: Transfer RNA (tRNA) molecules are approximately 80 nucleotides in length. Their secondary structure includes four short double-helical elements and three loops (D, anti-codon, and T loops). Further hydrogen bonds mediate the characteristic L-shaped molecular structure. tRNAs have two regions of fundamental functional importance: the anti-codon, which is responsible for specific mRNA codon recognition, and the 3' end, to which the tRNAs corresponding amino acid is attached (by aminoacyl-tRNA synthetases). tRNAs cope with the degeneracy of the genetic code in two manners: having more than one tRNA (with a specific anti-codon) for a particular amino acid; and 'wobble' base-pairing, i.e. permitting non-standard base-pairing at the 3rd anti-codon position. Lineage: Eukaryota; Metazoa; Chordata; Mammalia; Artiodactyla; Bovidae. The record is from Rfam by way of RNAcentral.
UCCCUAGUGGUUCAGUGGUUAAGACUCUGCGCUUCCAAUGCAGAUGGUACAGGUUCGAUCCCUAGUCAGGGAA